This 1267-nucleotide ribosomal RNA is filed under the name Pareuchaetes insulata. RNAcentral describes it as "16S ribosomal RNA". The stretch from base 1014 to 1172 matches the Rfam family "Eukaryotic large subunit ribosomal RNA", at positions 2825 to 2984 of the family's 3401-position model. The record is from RNAcentral. Lineage: Eukaryota; Metazoa; Arthropoda; Insecta; Lepidoptera; Erebidae.
GGGGGUUAAAGUAUAUUAAUAGAAAAAAUUGAAAUAUUUAUAAAAAAAUAGUAUUGUGAAAGAAAUUUGAAAUAUAUGAAAAAUAAAUUAUUUAAAAGUAAUUUUAAUUUAAUGUAUCUUGUGUAUCAGAGUUUAUUAAAAAAUAUUUUUAAUAAAAAAAUUCUCGAAUUUAAGAGAGAUAAUUAAUUAAUAAAGUUAUUAUAGCAAAAAUAUUUUAAAUAAUUAAUUUGAAAUGAAAUGUUAAUCGUUCUUAAAGAUAUCUAGUUUUUUUAGAAAAAAAUUUAAUUUAAAAUUUAAUUAAAUAAUUAAUUAAUUAAUUAAUAGAUUAUUGGUUAAAUUUUAUAUUUUAAGGGAUAAGCUUUAAAUUAAAUUUAUAUAAUUAUAUUGUGUUUAAUUUGAAAAUUAUAUAAUUUAUAUUGUUAAUAAAUUAAAAUUUAUUAUAAAUAAUUUCAAUUAAAAUAAAAUUUUAUUUAAUUUAUAUUUAUAUAAAAAAAUAUUUUUUAAUAAAAAAAAAUUAGAUAUAAUGAUAAAAUUAGUAUAUAACAAUAUUAAAAUAAAAUUAAUUAAUGAAAUUAUUUUAAAGGAAUUCGGCAAAAAUAUAUGCUCACUUGUUUAUCAAAAACAUGUCUUUUAGAAAAUAAUUUAAAGUCUAAUCUGCCCACUGAUUUUAAUUAAAGGGCUGCAGUAAUUUGACUGUACAAAGGUAGCAUAAUCAUUAGUCAUUUAAUUGAUGACUUGUAUGAAUGAUUGGAUGAAGUAUAAUCUGUCUCUAAAGUAAAUUAUAGAAUUUAAUUUUUAAAUUAAAAAGUUUAAAUAAAAUAAAAAGACGAGAAGACCCUAUAGAGUUUUAUAAAUUUUUAAAUUAUAAUUGUUUAUAAAAUUAAAAAUUUUUAAUUAAUAAAUUUAUUUUAUUGGGGUGAUAAAAAAAUAAAUUUAACUUUUUUUUUUAAUUAACAUAAAUAAAUGAGUAAGAUGAUCCAAUUAUAUUGAUUAUAAGAAAAAAUUACCUUAGGGAUAACAGCGUAAUUUAAUUUUUUAGUUCAUAUAAAAAAUUAAGUUUGCGACCUCGAUGUUGGAUUAAGAUAAAAUUUAAAUGCAAAAGUUUAAAAUUUUGAUCUGUUCGAUCAUUAAAAUCUUACAUGAUCUGAGUUCAGACCGGUGUGAGCCAGGUUGGUUUCUAUCUUUUAUAAAAUAAAAUAUUUUAGUACGAAAGGAUCAAAUAUUUAAAUUAAAUUUAAUGUUAAUGAAUUUUAUUAAAUAAAUAAUA